CAGCCUUACCAUGCUGAAACACUGGUUCCCAUAUGAUCACCAAAGUUAAGUAACGUUGAGUCUGGUCAGUAUCUAGAUGGGUGAUCGCUUGGGAAUACCAG
This is a non-coding RNA of Acanthosepion pharaonis, 101 nucleotides long. NCBI's taxonomy places the organism in Eukaryota, Metazoa, Mollusca, Cephalopoda, Sepiida, Sepiidae. The record is from the annotation of a GenBank genome assembly.